Sus scrofa (pig) is the source of this 1548-nucleotide non-coding RNA. The record is from RefSeq and is a predicted model, not a curated record. Lineage: Eukaryota; Metazoa; Chordata; Mammalia; Artiodactyla; Suidae.
CUGAAUUCCUUCUCCCAGGAAGAAAAGGACCGAGGUCCUCUCGCCACCAAACUGAAGCUGAAACCUCAGACACUCAGUUCAUCAUUUGAAUGGUAUCAAGAAUAUGAGAUGGUGUGAGGAUGAUGGGAGAAAGGGCAUCUGUUGCUUGUUUUGGUUCCUCCUGAAUCCACAGUCAGUACUCAGUAGAGUAGCCAUGAUUUUAAUUAUUUUAAGAGGAAGAUUCACAAGGAUGUGCCCACAAAACACUGCCAAUUUGCAGCUGAAAAUGAUAACUGGAUUGAUAUUCCUCUUUGAGAUGCAAGCAGAUGCCUCCACCAACUAUCUCGAACCGGAAUGCCGCAGCCUCCCCUUCGUCCGCAUUUAUCCUUGGCAGGAGCACCGUCUAUUUUGGGAAGGACGAAUCCCUGAGGACACCUGCAAAGGACUGGAAGCUCUUAGCAACUCCUUGACCUGAGAGUGAGGAACCGAGUGGCGGGGAGCCCCAGGACCUGCCCAUCAUCACGUCUCUGCAGUGGCCUUGCCACAACCUGCCCGGCGGGUUCUCCUGGAUUGGGGGAAGGUCUGGACCCGUGUCCCUCGGGGGUUCUCCUAGGUCUCUUAUGGAGGAGGUGGCAGGGCAGGGAAUUGCUCAGUGACUUUCGACUCCAUUUCCAAGGCACAUGCAUUGUUAAGUGCUAAGACUUCUGUAAGAUAGUUGGAGUGGAAAAUGGAACCCUUAAUCCUAGACCCUAAAGUUCAACUCUUUCAUGAUCGCUACAAUGGGUGCUAAAGAGAAGAGAACAGAGGAAACAGUCUGGGCAAAUGUAUCCUGUUUGUUGUUAUGGGGCUUUGGUCUCAAAUCUCUGUGGUUGAGCUGAGCUAGUUUGGAGCAUGUGUCAGCUGUGAGCAUGCCCUUUGCCUGUCUAAAUUCAGGUGGAAGACGAAAAGCCUAAUGAUAAGUUCAAGGUCAAAUAAGUCUAAAUAUGAAUAAGAAGCAAUAAAGCAUAGUCCUAAAGUCAGAUGUGAAAGCGAGAGAAUGUGAUGCUUAUGGAUGAGAAAAGUGAGACAGGCCUUAUGGAAUCUCCAGCUUUCAUGCUGGACUUUGUUUGGUAUAGAACCUUCUCAGCAUGGUGCUAGGAUGCUCCCUUCUCAGGAAAUAGCUCAGACGGGAGAAACCUUGAGCUUCUCCCAGUAGCUGAAAGGUGCCUCAAACAUUCAUUACAGCUUCUUAGACAGAGUUCGCUGAGGAAAGUUGUGUUCCCUGGGGCUGAAAAUUCUAGUAGACUGUAGGUGCUUUCAAACUUUGUGGUUUUUAUUUAUUUUUAUUUUAAAAAUUUUUUUGAAAGAUACUUCUUUUAGGCAUAGAAACUUAUACAGAACUCUAAUAUGUAACUGGUUAAAAUGUAUUCUAUUUGUAUAAAUUUAUUUUAGGAACUCAAAUGCAGUGAAGCUUUGCUACAUGCACUCUUUACUGGAUAACAGUGAGGAGAGUGGGCGGGGAGAUAUCCACUCAGUGAAAAGGAGAUUGCAAACCAAAUUUCCAAAAGAAAUAAAGAGAUCAAAAAUUCA